UGCUCGAAGGUGCGGGUAUCGAACAGGAUUAGAUACCCUGGUAGUCCGCACGGUAAACGAUGGAUGCCCGCUGUUUGCGAUACACAGUAAGCGGCCAAGCGAAAGCAUUAAGCAUCCCACCUGGGGAGUACGCCGGCAACGGUGAAACUCAAAGGAAUUGACGGGGGCCCGCACAAGCGGAGGAACAUGUGGUUUAAUUCGAUGAUACGCGAGGAACCUUACCCGGGCUUGAACUGCAGCGGAAGGAUACAGAGAUGUUGACGUCCUUCGGGACCGCUGCGGAGGUGCUGCAUGGUUGUCGUCAGCUCGUGCCGUGAGGUGUCGGCUUAAGUGCCAUAACGAGCGCAACCCCUGCGGUCAGUUGCCAUCAGUUAGAGCUGGGCACUCUGGCCGGACUGCCACCGCAAGGUGUGAGGAAGGUGGGGACGACGUCAAAUCAGCACGGCCCUUACGUCCGGGGCUACACACGUGUUACAAUGGGGAGCACAGCGAGUCGGCCGCCCGCAAGGUCGGUCCAAUCAUGAAACCUCCCCUCAGUUCGGACUGGGGUCUGCAACCCGACCCCACGAAGCUGGAUUCGCUAGUAAUCGCGCAUCAGCCA
Molecule: ribosomal RNA, 601 nt
Filed under: uncultured bacterium
Lineage: Bacteria
Description: bacterial SSU rRNA
Rfam family: Bacterial small subunit ribosomal RNA
Source: RNAcentral